Molecule: ribosomal RNA, 301 nt
Filed under: uncultured bacterium
Lineage: Bacteria
Description: partial 16S ribosomal RNA
Rfam family: Bacterial small subunit ribosomal RNA
Source: RNAcentral
CAGUCGCCACGGUAAUACGGGGGGGGCAAGUGUUAUUCGGAAUGACUGGGCGUAAAGGGCACGUAGGCGGUGAAAAGGGUGGAAAGUGAAAGUCGCCAAAACACUGGCGGGGUGCUUUCUUGACCAUUUCACUUGAGUGAGAUAGGGGAGAGUGGAAUUUCGUGUGGAGGGAUCAAAUCCUAAGAUAUACGAAGGAACGCCAACCGCGAAGGCAGCUCUCUGGGUCCCCACUGACGCUGGGGUGCGAAAGCAUGGGGAGCAAACAGGAUCAGAUACCCCGGUAGUCCCUGUCUCUUAUACC